RNAcentral lists this long non-coding RNA (427 nucleotides) under Phasianus colchicus (ring-necked pheasant). RNAcentral describes it as "lncRNA (ENSPCLG00000014379.1)". The record is from RNAcentral. Lineage: Eukaryota; Metazoa; Chordata; Aves; Galliformes; Phasianidae.
AUGCAAGGAAAAGCAAACCUGUGGUUUGAAGAUACUCUUCUGGAGGGAAAAGUCAGCGAUCAGGAGCAUGAGGCCACCACCAUUUUGAAAGAAAAACAGUACUGGUGUAGGCACCUUACUUUUAGACAUGAGAAAGCAGUGCAUGGGCCUGCUGGUCAACUCUGGGAAGCUGUGAGGAAUGAGAUAGUUGCCUGCUUGCCAAGCAGUGGACAAUGUUCAUGAGUAAAUAGCAAUCACUCUCAGCCUGUACCUUCAAUAGCAAUACAUAUAAAAUGGCACUGCUCCAAGGUGCUUCUUGAAGCUAAGGAAGCUGAAGGAAAUGAGUAUGAAUAAUCCCUCUCAAAGCUUUAUGGCUAAAAGAUGAAUGAAAGUGGUUGCAUAUAGUACUCUGAAUAAAUAACAUCUAAUUACUGAAUAUUAGAGGCUC